RNAcentral lists this ribosomal RNA (650 nucleotides) under uncultured Actinomycetes bacterium. RNAcentral's name for it is "bacterial SSU rRNA". It matches the Rfam family "Bacterial small subunit ribosomal RNA", at positions 496 to 1169 of the family's 1533-position model. The record is from RNAcentral. Lineage: Bacteria; Bacillati; Actinomycetota; Actinomycetes.
GCCAACUAUGUGCCAGCAGCCGCGGUGAUACAUAGGCACCAAGCGUUGUCCGGAUUUAUUGGGCGUAAAGAGCUCGUAGGCGGUUCAGUCAGUCGGGUGUGAAAACUCUGGGCUUAACCCAGAGCCUGCACCCGAUACUGCUGUGACUAGAGUUCGGUAGGGGAGCGGGGAAUUCCUGGUGUAGCGGUGGAAUGCGCAGAUAUCAGGAGGAACACCAAUGGCGAAGGCAGGUCUCUGGGCCAUUACUGACACUGAGGAGCGAAAGCGCGGGGAGCGAACAGGAUUAGAUACCCUGGUAGUCCGCGCCGUAAACGGUGGGCACUAGUUGUGGGAACCUUCCACGGUUUCCGCGACGCAGCUAACGCAUUAAGUGCCCCGCCUGGGGAGUACGAUCGCAGAUUAAAACUCAAAGGAAUUGACGGGGGCCCGCACAAGCAGCGGAGCGUGUUGCUUAAUUCGAUGCUACGCGAAGAACCUUACCUGGGUUUGACAUGUUGGAAAGCCACAGAGAUGUGGUGUCCGCAGGGCCAAACACAGUGGUGCAUGGCUGUCGUCAGCUCUGUCGUGAGAUGUGGGUAAGUCCGCACGAGCGCACCCUAUCUAUGUGCAGCAAGUAUGUUGGGACUCAUGAGACCGCGGGUCACUCGAGA